AACGGCCGCGGUAUCCUAACCGUGCAAAGGUAGCAUAAUCACUUGCCUAUUAAUUAUAGGCUAGAAUGAAUGGGUUAACGAAAUAAAGACUGUCUCAAUUAAUCACCUAAAAAUUACUAUCUAUCUGAAGAAGAGUAGAUAAUCUCGAAGGACAAGAAGACCCUAUAGAGCUUAAUUUUAAUUAUAGAGCUACACUAUAAAAAUAUUCGGUUGGGGCGACCCAGGGCUAAUCAAUCACCCACUACAUAAAAGAUAAAUUAAUCAAGUAAUUGACCCCUAAAAGAUCAUAAGAACAAGCUACCUUAGGGAUAACAGGCUAAUCCCACUCAAGAGUCCUUAUCAACAGUGGGGUUUGGCACCUCGAUGUUGGCUUAGG
This 376-nucleotide ribosomal RNA is filed under the name Metaphire sieboldi (earthworm). RNAcentral's name for it is "partial 16S ribosomal RNA". It matches the Rfam family "Bacterial large subunit ribosomal RNA", at positions 1926 to 2541 of the family's 2925-position model. The record is from RNAcentral. Lineage: Eukaryota; Metazoa; Annelida; Clitellata; Crassiclitellata; Megascolecidae.